This is a long non-coding RNA of Clarias gariepinus (North African catfish), 252 nucleotides long. RefSeq lists it as uncharacterized. The record is from RefSeq and is a predicted model, not a curated record. Lineage: Eukaryota; Metazoa; Chordata; Actinopteri; Siluriformes; Clariidae. The transcript has 3 exons.
GCACCAAGACAGGCUACAGAAAUGGCAGAUCUACAAAUGACAGAGGAGAGGCUCCAAGAUGCACUAAUUAAUCUCAAGGUGGACAUGAUUAGAAAACUGUGUAAGCAAUGUGGCCUGGACUCAAAAGGCUCAAAAAUGGACCUUAUCCUAAGACUGCGGGAUGAAAUGAAGAACAGGUCAUCUUAUGACAAGAUCUUCGAGAAGCCACAGCUGCACAGAUACCAGAAGAAGCAGAAGAAAGAGUAAAAUCAG